This 368-nucleotide ribosomal RNA is filed under the name uncultured Glomeromycotina. RNAcentral describes it as "LSU rRNA". Lineage: Eukaryota; Fungi; Glomeromycota. The record is from RNAcentral.
UUGAAAGGGAAACGAUUGAAGUCAGUCGUGCUGGCGCGAAAUCAACCUUCUCGUCUUGAGAUCACAUGGCGUGGCGAGCCUCAAAACCGUCACGAAGCGUGAACUCUUGGUGAAAUGGAGCACUUUCGUGUCCGCUGGUUAACAUCAAUUUCGAACGUCAUAAAAAGGCUGGAGGGAUGUGGCUCCUUCGGGAGUGUUAUAACCUUUAGCGGAAUGUGGUGUUCGGGAUUGAGGAUUGCAACGAAUACCUUUAGGGCUGUUCCACCUGGCUUCUCUUUGGUAUCCUGGUGACGACAGCUUGCUGUCGUUGUUAGGAUUCGCCUUUGAGCAGGCUAGAGUGUGAGCAACACGUUAAGGAUGUUGACGUA